GCGUGUAGCUCAGUGGUAGAGCACUUGCCUAGCAUGUACAAGAUCUUGGGUUCCAUUCCCAGCACUGCA
This 69-nucleotide transfer RNA is filed under the name Marmota monax (woodchuck). Its description in RNAcentral is "tRNA.Ala". It matches the Rfam family "tRNA", at positions 5 to 66 of the family's 71-position model. From Rfam's summary of the family: Transfer RNA (tRNA) molecules are approximately 80 nucleotides in length. Their secondary structure includes four short double-helical elements and three loops (D, anti-codon, and T loops). Lineage: Eukaryota; Metazoa; Chordata; Mammalia; Rodentia; Sciuridae. The record is from RNAcentral.